Molecule: non-coding RNA, 168 nt
Filed under: Parabacteroides timonensis
Lineage: Bacteria; Pseudomonadati; Bacteroidota; Bacteroidia; Bacteroidales; Tannerellaceae
Source: RNAcentral
UGCCGGUUCAUUCUGUACCGGCAUAAAAGGGAAUUCGGUGACAAUCCGAAGCAGUGCCCGCUACUGUAAUACCCAUAUCCGAAGAAAAGUUUCUUAUGCCACUGUUUCGUUUACAAGAAAUGGGAAGGUGCUUUUCAGGGUUAAGCCAGGAAACCUGCCAGAUCAGAC